RNAcentral lists this transfer RNA (71 nucleotides) under Clostridia bacterium. Its description in RNAcentral is "tRNA-Cys". It matches the Rfam family "tRNA". From Rfam's summary of the family: Transfer RNA (tRNA) molecules are approximately 80 nucleotides in length. Lineage: Bacteria; Bacillati; Bacillota; Clostridia. The record is from RNAcentral.
GGCGUCAUAGCCAAGUGGUAAGGCACGGGUCUGCAACACACUUAUCCCCAGUUCAAGUCUGGGUGACGCCU